AUUGAACGCUGGCGGAAUGCUUUACACAUGCAAGUCGAGCGGCAGCACGGGGGCAACCCUGGUGGCGAGCGGCGAACGGGUGAGUAAUACAUCGGAACAUGCCCAGUCGUGGGGGAUAACACUUCGAAAGAAGUGCUAAUACCGCAUACGUCCUGAGGGAGAAAGCGGGGGAUCGCAAGACCUCGCGCGAUUGGAGUGGCCGAUGUCAGAUUAGCUAGUUGGUGGGGUAAAGGCCUACCAAGGCAACGAUCUGUAGCUGGUCUGAGAGGAUGAUCAGCCAAGCGUGAGGGGGACGCAGGCCACACACCACCAGGGGAGGCGGAGUGGGGGAUUUUGGAAAAAAGGGGACAACCCGAACCCGCCAUUCCCGGGGGGGGAAAGAGCCCUUCGGGGUUGAAAAGCUUUCCGGGAGGAAAAAAAGGGGAGGCUUCAAACAGAGCUUGCAAAGGAGGGUACUAGAAAAAAAAGCCCCGGCAAACACGGGC
This 485-nucleotide ribosomal RNA is filed under the name uncultured bacterium. RNAcentral's name for it is "partial 16S ribosomal RNA". It matches the Rfam family "Bacterial small subunit ribosomal RNA", at positions 29 to 508 of the family's 1533-position model. The record is from RNAcentral.